Long non-coding RNA from Lactuca sativa (garden lettuce), 829 nucleotides. RefSeq lists it as uncharacterized. NCBI's taxonomy places the organism in Eukaryota, Viridiplantae, Streptophyta, Magnoliopsida, Asterales, Asteraceae. The record is from RefSeq and is a predicted model, not a curated record.
GAAAACUAGGUAAUUAAAACCCCCUUGAGUGUUUCUAAUAAGGCUGAAUGGAGUGGAGGUAUUAGGAUCGGUCGCUAGGCUCGCUAAGGGCUGAGAAACACCGCCCUCUAGCGCUCGCUAGGGGGCUCGCUACCAAGUUGUCGCUAGGAUUUUGGUGAAAUGAGAGAGAAAGGGUUGGUGGAACCUCAUUGGUGGAACUCAUUUGACUGGUGGAAUCCCAAUUUUGAUUUAACAAGUUUGAAGUUUGGAGGUUUCUUGAAUCAACGUUUUCUUCUUCUUAAUCCUUCUUUCUGGGGGUUAUAUGGGUUAUAUUCAAAUCCACGAAGUGGGCUUUGGUUUGAUUGUGUGAAGAUGCGAUAUUUAUGGGUGAUUUGAUGAUCUUCAUGUCUGGAAACCAUUGAUUCUUUAGAUCUGUAAUGGGAAUGAGCCUUUGAUUUCCCAAAGAUCUUUCCACCCCAAUUCAUGGUUUUAAUUUCCUUAGACAACACGACAUGGGUACAAACGAGAAGUAACGCCGGUGACGUGGCAUGCCUCAACGGCGUCGUAACGUGGGGAACACCGCCCCCCAACUUGUUGAAUCUCGUUAUGGUGGAUCUUGUGGUAACGAGGACGAGAUAAAACAAGAAUGAUGAUUGGCUAUCUCCUCCAUCAACCAAUCAAAUAAUUUUCUUUAUUUUCUCUCUCUACCUUUUAACAAGAUAUAACAUCUGGAACACCAUUUCCCCCUUGGUGUUAUGGUGAUGUUAUGGAUGAGGUGACACCAAUUUGGUGUUACAUUCCGUUGCCCACACCCAAUGUUCUUAUUCUUGAAACUUUUUUUAGUUUUUAA